This 224-nucleotide ribosomal RNA is filed under the name Bacillus subtilis. Its description in RNAcentral is "partial 16S ribosomal RNA". It matches the Rfam family "Bacterial small subunit ribosomal RNA", at positions 232 to 475 of the family's 1533-position model. Lineage: Bacteria; Bacillati; Bacillota; Bacilli; Caryophanales; Bacillaceae. The record is from RNAcentral.
CCCGGCGCAUUAGCUAGUGGUGAGGUACGGCUCACAACGGCACGAUGCGUAGCGACCUGAGAGGGUGAUCGGCCACACUGGGACUGAGACACGACAGACUCUACGAGCAGCAGUAGAUCUCGCAAUGACGAAGUCUGACGAGCAACGCGCGUGAGUGAUGAAGGUUUCGGAUCGUAAGCUCUGUGUAGGAAGAACAAGUACCGUCGAAUAGGCGGUACUGACGG